Rattus norvegicus (Norway rat) is the source of this 269-nucleotide non-coding RNA. The record is from RefSeq and is a predicted model, not a curated record. NCBI's taxonomy places the organism in Eukaryota, Metazoa, Chordata, Mammalia, Rodentia, Muridae.
AGAUAUUUUGUCACAGCAACAAAAGGAUGAUCAACACAAAGGAUAAAGAAAUGAAGGUUCUUGAUCAGUUACUGAAAUAGGUAGAGUAUUGUGGAAUAAGUGUCACGCGAAGAAACAUACAGGAACAUACAGGAAGCCACAAGAGACAAGGACAGGAUGGAGUAAAGAAGCUUCAAACCAAGGAACACCAGAAGGUUGUCAUACCGCAAAGUGGAGUAGACCGUACGCUUGUAGGACAUUGCGGAAAAUACAGCAUUGCCCACACCUUA